GAGUUUGAUCCUGGCUCAGAACGUACGCUGGCGGCACGCCUAACACAUGCAAGUCGAACGAAGUAGCAAUACUUAGUGGCAGACGGGUGAGUAACAUGUAGGUAUCUGCCCUUUGGCCUGGAAUAACACGAGGAAACUUGUGCUAAUACCGGAUAAGUCUUUACAGAGAAAGCUUUAUGCACCAUUGGAUGAGCCUGCACUUGAUUAGUUUGUUGGUGGGGUAAUGGCCUACCAAGACUGUGAUCAAUAGCUGAUUUGAGAGGAUGAUCAGCCACAUUGGGACUGAGACACGGCCCAAACUCCUACGGGAGGCGGCAGUGGGGAAUCUUGCACAAUGGAGGAAACUCUGAUGCAGCGAUGCCGCGUGAGUGAAGAAGGCCCUUGGGUUGUAAAGCUCUUUCGUCGGGGAAGAAAAUGACUGUACCCGAAUAAGAAGGUCCGGCUAACUUCGUGCCAGCAGCCGCGGUAAUACGAAGGGACCUAGCGUAGUUCGGAAUUACUGGGCUUAAAGAGUUCGUAGGUGGUUGAAAAAGUUAGUGGUGAAAUCCCAGAGCUUAACUCUGGAACUGCCAUUAAAACUUUUCAGCUAGAGUAUGAUAGAGGAAAGCAGAAUUUCUAGUGUAGAGGUGAAAUUCGUAGAUAUUAGAAAGAAUACCAAUUGCGAAGGCAGCUUUCUGGAUCAUUACUGACACUGAGGAACGAAAGCAUGGGUAGCGAAGAGGAUUAGAUACCCUCGUAGUCCAUGCCGUAAACGAUGUGUGUUAGACGUUGGAAAUUUAUUUUCAGUGUCGCAGGGAAACCGAUAAACACACCGCCUGGGGAGUACGACCGCAAGGUUAAAACUCAAAUGAAUUGACGGGGACCCGCACAAGUAGUGGAGCAUGUGGUUUAAUUCGAAGAUACGCGCAGAACCUUACCAACACUUGACAUGUUCGUCGCGACUCUAAGAGAUUAGAGUUUUCGGUUCGGCCGGACGAAACACAGGUGCUGCAUGGCUGUCGUCAGCUCGUGUCGUGAGAUGUUGGGUUAAGUCCCGCAACGAGCGCAACCCUCACUUUUAGUUGCCAUCAUUAAGUUGGGCACUCUGAAAGAACUGCCAGUGAUAAGCUGGAGGAAGGUGGGGAUGACGUCAAGUCCUCAUGGCCCUUACGUGUUGGGCUACACACGUGCUACAAUGGUAUCUACGACAGGAAGCAAAACCGCGAGGUUAAGCAAAUCCCUAAAAGAUACCUCAGUUCGGAUUGCACUCUGCAACUCGAGUGCAUGAAGCUGGAAUUACUAGUAAUCGUGGAUCAGCGUGCCACGGUGAAUGCGUUCCCGGGUCUUGCACUCACCGCCCGUC
This 1342-nucleotide ribosomal RNA is filed under the name uncultured marine bacterium. RNAcentral's name for it is "bacterial SSU rRNA". It matches the Rfam family "Bacterial small subunit ribosomal RNA". The record is from RNAcentral.